GAGUUUGAUCCUGGCUCAGAUUGAACGCUGGCGGCAGGCCUAACACAUGCAAGUCGAACUGUAGCACAGAGAGCUUGCUCUCGGGUGACGAGUGGCGGACGGGUGAGUAAUGUCUGGGAAACUGCCUGAUGGAGGGGGAUAACUACUGGAAACGGUAGCUAAUACCGCAUAACGUCGCAAGACCAAAGAGGGGGACCUUCGGGCCUCUUGCCAUCAGAUGUGCCCAGAUGGGAUUAGCUAGUAGGUGGGGUAACGGCUCACCUAGGCGACGAUCCCUAGCUGGUCUGAGAGGAUGACCAGCCACACUGGAACUGAGACACGGUCCAGACUCCUACGGGAGGCAGCAGUGGGGAAUAUUGCACAAUGGGCGCAAGCCUGAUGCAGCCAUGCCGCGUGUAUGAAGAAGGCCUUCGGGUUGUAAAGUACUUUCAGCGGGGAGGAAGGCGAUAAGGUUAAUAACCUUGUCGAUUGACGUUACCCGCAGAAGAAGCACCGGCUAACUCCGUGCCAGCAGCCGCGGUAAUACGGAGGGUGCAAGCGUUAAUCGGAAUUACUGGGCGUAAAGCGCACGCAGGCGGUCUGUCAAGUCGGAUGUGAAAUCCCCGGGCUCAACCUGGGAACUGCAUUCGAAACUGGCAGGCUGGAGUCUUGUAGAGGGGGGUAGAAUUCCAGGUGUAGCGGUGAAAUGCGUAGAGAUCUGGAGGAAUACCGGUGGCGAAGGCGGCCCCCUGGACAAAGACUGACGC
Molecule: ribosomal RNA, 746 nt
Filed under: uncultured bacterium
Lineage: Bacteria
Description: bacterial SSU rRNA
Rfam family: Bacterial small subunit ribosomal RNA
Source: RNAcentral